This 687-nucleotide ribosomal RNA is filed under the name uncultured Gammaproteobacteria bacterium. RNAcentral's name for it is "bacterial SSU rRNA". It matches the Rfam family "Bacterial small subunit ribosomal RNA", at positions 55 to 733 of the family's 1533-position model. The record is from RNAcentral. Lineage: Bacteria; Pseudomonadati; Pseudomonadota; Gammaproteobacteria.
AUGCAAGUCGAGCGGAAACGAUGGGAGCUUGCUCCCAGGCGUCGAGCGGCGGACGGGUGAGUAACGCGUAGGAAUCUACCCAGUAGCGGGGGAUAGCCCGGGGAAACCCGGAUUAAUACCGCAUACGCCCCACGGGGGAAAGCAGGGGAUCUUCGGACCUUGCACUAUUGGAUGAGCCUGCGUUGGAUUAGCUAGUUGGUGGGGUAAUGGCCUACCAAGGCGACGAUCCAUAGCUGGUCUGAGAGGAUGAUCAGCCACACUGGGACUGAGACACGGCCCAGACUCCUACGGAAGGCAGCAGUAGGGAAUAUUGGACAAUGGGGGCAACCCUGAUCCAGCCAUGCCGCGUGUGUGAAGAAGGCUUUCGGGUUGUAAAGCACUUUCAGCGAGGAGGAAAUGGCAGCGGCUAAUAUCCGCAGUCUAUGACGUUACUCGCAGAAGAAGGACCGGCUAACUCCGUGCCAGCAGCCGCGGUAAUACGGAGGGUCCGAGCGUUAAUCGGAAUUACUGGGCGUAAAGCGCGCGUAGGCGGUUAGAUCAGUCGGGUGUGAAAGCCCCGGGCUCAACCUGGGAACUGCAUUCGAUACUGUCUGACUGGAGUAUGGGAGAGGGCAGUGGAAUUCCAUGUGUAGCGGUGAAAUGCGUAGAUAUGUGGAGGAACACCAGUGGCGAAGGCGACUGCCUGGC